AAUAGAUACCCAGGUAGUCCUAGCCGUAAACGAUACUCGUUAGGUGUCGGCCACGGUGCGACCGUUGUCGGUGCCGUAGGGAAGCCGUGAAGCGAGCCACCUGGGAAGUACGGCCGCAGGGCUGAAACUUAAAGGAAUUGGCGGGGGAGCACCACAACGGGUGGAGCUUGCGGUUUAAUUGGAUUCAACGCCGGAAAUCUUACCGGGACCGACAGCAAUAUGAAGGCCAGGCUGAAGACUUUGCCGGAUUAGCUGAGAGGUGGUGCAUGGCCGUCGUCAGUUCGUACUGUGAAGCAUCCUGUUAAGUCAGGCAACGAGCGAGACCCACGCCCACAGUUGCCAGCGUACUCUCUGGAGUGACGGGUACACUGUGGGACCGCCGCUGCUAAAGCGGAGGAAGGAAUGGGCAACGGUAGGUCAGUAUGCCCCGAAUAUCCCGGGCUACACGCGAGCUACAAUGGUUGGUACAAUGGGUAUCUACCCCGAAAGGGGACGGGAAUCUCCUAAAACCAAUCUUAGUUCGGAUUGAGGGCUGCAACUCGCCCUCA
RNAcentral lists this ribosomal RNA (548 nucleotides) under uncultured bacterium. Its description in RNAcentral is "bacterial SSU rRNA". It matches the Rfam family "Archaeal small subunit ribosomal RNA", at positions 728 to 1276 of the family's 1478-position model. The record is from RNAcentral.